CUCUCAAUGUGAAAUGAUCUCUAAAUGCCAA
RNAcentral lists this non-coding RNA (31 nucleotides) under Homo sapiens (human). The record is from RNAcentral. Lineage: Eukaryota; Metazoa; Chordata; Mammalia; Primates; Hominidae.